This 32-nucleotide non-coding RNA is filed under the name Mus musculus (house mouse). Lineage: Eukaryota; Metazoa; Chordata; Mammalia; Rodentia; Muridae. The record is from RNAcentral.
CACCCAUUGGGCAGGAGACUCUUUGCCACUGU